GAUGAAGAACGUAGCGAAAUGCGAUAAGUAACGUGAAUUGCAGAAUUCAGUGAAUCAUCGAAUCUUUGAACGCACAUUGCGCCCAUUAGUAUUCUAGUGGGCAUGCCUGUUCGAGCGUCAUUAAGUCCACUUAAGCCCUGCUUAGUGUUGGGAGACUGCUCCAGCGGUGCUACCCUGUAGCUACCCUGCAGCUCCUCAAAGACAGCGGCGGAGUUGUGGUAUCCUCUGAGCUUAGUAACUUGUUCUAGCUUUCGAGUACACCACUUCCCCUGCCGUAAAACCCUUAAUUUUUAAUGGUUGACCUCGGAUCAGGUAGGAAUACCUGCUGAACUUAAGCAUAUCAAUAAGCGGAGGA
Molecule: unclassified non-coding RNA, 355 nt
Filed under: soil metagenome
Description: partial contains 5.8S ribosomal RNA, internal transcribed spacer 2, and large subunit ribosomal RNA
Rfam family: 5.8S ribosomal RNA (bases 1-120)
Source: RNAcentral